Molecule: ribosomal RNA, 450 nt
Filed under: uncultured bacterium
Lineage: Bacteria
Description: partial 16S ribosomal RNA
Rfam family: Bacterial small subunit ribosomal RNA
Source: RNAcentral
CCUACGGGGGGCUGCAGUAAGGAAUAUUGGUCAAUGGACGAAAGUCUGAACCAGCCAUCCCGCGUGCAGGAUGAAAGCCCUAUGGGUUGUAAACUGCUUUUAGCAGAGAAGAAAAGCUUUCAUUAAUGAGAGUCUGACGGUAUCUGCAGAAUAAGCACCGGCUACCUCCGUGCCAGCAGCCGCGGUAAUACGGAGGGUGCGGGCAUUAUCCGGAAUUACUGGUGUUAAAGGGGAGGUAGACGGCAUAUGAGAAAUCUUGUCGCUUAACGAUAAAAUUGCAAAUGAUACUGGUACUCUUGAAUUGGGUUGAGGUUAGCGGAAUGUGACAUGUAGCGGUGAAAUGCAUAGAUAUGUCAUGGAACACCAAUUGCGAAGGCAGCUAACUGGGCCUUGAUUGACGCUGAGGCACGAAAGCGUGGGUAGCGAACAGGAUUAGAUACCCCUGUAGUC